GCAGGUUACGCGGCGUCGCCUCCCGAAUCCCGAACCUUCUCGAGGUCGAGGCCCCUCUCCCCCUGCUCCAGGAGGUGCGCACGACUCUAAUCCCCUCACGCCCCACUGGCGUUUUCUUCCCUGCUUGCUCCGAUUUCGUUUCGAUGAAAACAAUGAGCCGACGCAACAGCCGUACCAUCUAUGUAGGCAAUCUCCCUGGGGACAUCCGUGAGAGGGAGGUUGAGGAUCUCUUCUACAAGUAUGGUCGUAUCUUGGAUAUCGACUUGAAAAUACCUCCAAGACCUCCUGGAUACGCUUUCGUUGAGUUUGAGGAUCCACGUGAUGCUGAUGAUGCAAUUUAUGGCCGUGAUGGGUAUAACUUUGAUGGCUACAGGUUGCGCGUUGAAUUAGCUCAUGGUGGUAGAGGUCAGUCUUAUUCUUAUGAUCGUUCAAGCAGCUAUAGCAGUGCACGCCGUGGAGGUGUUUCUAGGCGCUCUGAUUUCCGUGUUAUGGUCACUGGUUUACCUUCAUCUGCAUCGUGGCAAGAUCUGAAGGACCACAUGCGGCGCGCCGGCGAUGUCUGUUUCUCUGAUGUAUACCGUGAGGCUGGAGAAACUAUUGGAAUUGUGGACUAUACAAAUUAUGACGAUAUGAAAUACGCGAUUAGGAAGCUUGAUGACUCACAGUUCAGGAAUGCAUUUUCAAGGGCGUAUAUCAGGGUGAGGGAGUAUGAUGCCAGAUCACGAAGCAGAAGCCGUAGCCGGUCGUACUCUAGAAGCCCCAGUUACAGCAGGAGCAGGAGUCCAAAAUCUCUUUCUCGGUCACCCUCACCUGUGGAUGAAAGGGCCAGGGAGGAUGUCACAACUGAUAGGAGAGUGCCACAUUAACUUAAUUAUUUCCUACUAUCUGAUAUACUCUUGUCAAACAAACCAAAUGCCCGAGCUGAGAGACUGCCUUGUACAUACUUCUGCAAAUGCAGACCUGAAUUUUUGAGCAUGUGCUCUACCUAUCCUUAUAGAACAUGUUGAAGGUUUGGCUCUAUCACAAACUUCUAGAUAAAUCUUUCAAUGUUGUAGCAGCCUAGCAGGGAGUAUUGGAUCCUUCAGAAGCAUGCCAAAUUGAGAGGGUAUAGAAAGAUGUAUUACCAGAAUUUUACAUUCUUUCAAAACAAUAGUCUUGUCACCUUUUCCUGCCGUACCAGUCAUCUCCAUAGCAUGGCAGAACCUCUUCGUUUCUUUUUCCUCAUGGAAAAGCUUCAGUCCUCUCCUUAAUUAUCAACUUCAUACAUCUUUAACCUAGAGCUCCUUUUUUCUGAGUUUAACAACAAACUUUUCCUGCUUUAUAUUUUAAAGUAGAAAAAGGACUCUACAGAUAAAACUCACAUAUAUUUGCCUCAGAUUUUAAUAAACAAUAUUUCAAAAUAAAAUAUUUUUUCUGCUUUUUGUUAAAGCAAUAAGAAGAAACAAAGUUUGGUGCCAGAAUUUUUUUUUCGCGAACAGGUCGUAACCUGUUGGUGCCAGAAAUUUAACUUGAUAUACUUUGGAACGCCUCCUGAAAUCACCUGUGAUAUGUUUUUCUGUGUACCGAUUUCUCUUUAAGUUAGCAUAACUUUUGUGAUGUACUAAUCUCUCUUUAAAUAAGUGUGACUUGAAUUUGCUCUGUAGUUCAAUGAUUAAACAUACAGAGCUUGCUGGCUAACCUCCACUGUUCAAGGUUUGCUUUUGUUUUUCCUAGAUUUGGCCAUGCGGCGAUCUGGGGACUGCAUUGAUAUAAUAUUGGAUGUUUUGAGAAUUGGAGUGGAUGGUUUGGGACUUUGGAUAGUAGAGCUGGAUUGUGAUGCAUGUAUGACAAGUGGGCCACGACCAGUCCUAGGAGCAAGAUAGGACUGACAGUAAGAAAAUGUGAAGUGAAUCUUGUGGUGUUAUUAAAACAAAUGUCUACUAUUAAGUUCAAUGACUCCGUAUAAAUGAACCUUAAUUUAUAAGUUUGUGUUUUUGUCUAACAAUGCUGCCAUCUUAGUAAAAAUUCCUAUGGUGCCUUCUGCAUAUGGCUCUUUGUAGCCAUUUUCUUGUCAAGGUUCACACUAGCCAAAGAAGUUGACAUUAACAACAAAAUUCAAUAUACACCUUGCUUUGUUUGCUUAUUUGCAUUCCAGUUAUGACCUAAUUACCUUAUAGGCUUAAAAACUAUAUUAUUCUCGGAGUAUUAAGCAUAAACACCAGAAUGUUGCAGCUUCCCUCCUGUUUCAGUUCAUUCAUUCAUCUGCUGUGGAACGUUGCCUCUUUAUGCACAUCUCAAGUUGCCAGUUUAGCUUUAAUUGCAAUUUUGUAUCGCAGAUUAGAGUGCUACUAAUGCAUCAUUAAGUAAUGGAAUUUGUUUCUGGUACCUUUUGCAGAUCGCUAUCAAGAUCUCGAUCCCCAGUUUCUUCUCCUUCUCAUGCCAGAUCUGCGAGCAGAAGCACAUCCCGUUCUCGGUCUCCUGUGAGAUCCGAUUGAACUUGGGAGCCCUUGAAGCAGUGAGCAGCUCCAGGGAGAAGAAAGGAACUUGAGAACAUGCCGUGCCAAAAGAUACUUGAGAACACCAAUGGUCCAAGUGAUUAUGUUGUUGCCGCUGCUCCCCCACAUUUGGGAGGUCUCUUCUAUUUAGACGGAGCAUUUAAUAAUUAUUAUAUUACAUUAUAUUGCUAAAGAGAUACUUAUUAUGCGUAGCAUACCGGUGUAGACUGAACUUGUUUGUCCUCGGUUUUUCUUGGCUCCUGGAACUCGGUUUUAUCAUUUGUUUACAAGAGACUUGUUUUAUCAUUGUACCCAUAUAGCAAAACCUAUAGGUGUAGUAGGAGUAUGCUGUAUGCGUCUAUGUUCAAUUGGUCGCAUGUAAACCUGGAUACGCACAGUUGUUUGGUUCCAUGGUGUGUUGUUACAAUGUUCCAAAAUUUGAGAUUCUCUGGAACAAUGUAGCAUCGUUGUGCAACUUCGAUCAGAUUUGGCUGAA
RNA transcript from Sorghum bicolor (sorghum), 2970 nucleotides. It is a transcript of the gene named serine/arginine-rich splicing factor SR30, with no coding region annotated. The record is from RefSeq and is a predicted model, not a curated record. The transcript has 14 exons. NCBI's taxonomy places the organism in Eukaryota, Viridiplantae, Streptophyta, Magnoliopsida, Poales, Poaceae.